This is an RNA transcript of Eucalyptus grandis, 726 nucleotides long. It is a transcript of the gene named ubiquitin-conjugating enzyme E2 2-like, with no coding region annotated. The record is from RefSeq and is a predicted model, not a curated record. The transcript has 6 exons. NCBI's taxonomy places the organism in Eukaryota, Viridiplantae, Streptophyta, Magnoliopsida, Myrtales, Myrtaceae.
UACGCAUAAGCCAAGCGAAGCUGGUCUAUCUCUCUCGCUCUCUCUCUCUAUUCGAGCGUGUAGAAUCUCUCUCUCUCUAUCUCUCGCUUGAACAGAUUCUCUUUCCACUCGGCAAGCUUCCAGUCGCCGGGCCUUUGAGAAACCCUAGCUCUCUCUCUCUCUCUCUCUCUCUCUCUCUCUCUGUGUUCUGCUGCCGCGUUCGGAGCAGCUUCUAGGUUUGCCGUUCGCGCUCCUCCGCCAGUGACCUGCGAUGUCAACUCCUGCGAGGAAGAGGCUGAUGAGGGAUUUUAAGAGGUUGCAACAGGACCCACCGGCAGGCAUUAGUGGGGCGCCCCAAGAUAAUAACAUUAUGCUUUGGAAUGCGGUGAUAUUUGGUCCUGACGAUACUCCAUGGGAUGGAGGUACGUUCAAGUUGACUCUUCAGUUUUCAGAGGAUUAUCCAAAUAAACCUCCAACAGUGCGCUUUGUUUCUCGAAUGUUUCAUCCAAACAUUUAUGCCGACGGAAGUAUCUGUUUGGAUAUAUUGCAAAACCAGUGGAGUCCUAUAUAUGAUGUUGCAGCAAUACUCACAUCUAUCCAGUCUUUACUGUGUGAUCCCAAUCCGAACUCUCCUGCAAACUCGGAAGCCGCUCGAAUGUUCAGCGAGAACAAGCGAAUACAACCGGAGAGUAAGGGAAAUAGUGGAGCAGAGCUGGACUGCCGAUUAAAUUCAAUCCCGGGCAGCGG